Molecule: non-coding RNA, 7006 nt
Organism: Paramormyrops kingsleyae
Lineage: Eukaryota; Metazoa; Chordata; Actinopteri; Osteoglossiformes; Mormyridae
Source: RefSeq, a predicted model, not a curated record
AUCUCAGCGAGUGCUGACACAGAAGAGAGCUUCUGGGGGAAGCGAAGCGUGUGGAUCAAUAUCAGAACAGAUGCAAAGGUCACCUGUCUCAGAAGGAUGGAAAACCCUGGAAUCCAAAGCGAUGCGGCCAGGCUGAUCUGCAUCUGUACGCUGCCUGUGGCAUGCAUGCCCUGUGAUGGCCUGACAUCCUGCCCGGAAGCGCCCCAGCGUUGUGCUCCAGUCACCAGACAGAGUGAAGAUGGAUUCCAGAGCACCCACUGGCUCCAAGGCAGGCAAACAGGAGGGUGGAGGUCCAUUCCAUUCAGUCGCUACCUGAUGGAUGGCCUCUCACAGGAUACUCUGACUCAGCCCAUUCUGUCCCCGAGGUCUACUCACCGAGCCGAUGUCCAGAUCCAUCUCAGCCUGAACAGGCACUGGUGCAAAAAGUCACUGACUUCAAAGAGGAACUAUGGCCAGCUAGACAUGGAUCACAAUGAUCUGCUUAUGCAGUAAGUUACAGUUUCCAUAUUACAGCCUGCUUAUCUACUCAGUGACUAAGGCAACUAAUAAGGACUUUUAAUGUGACAGAGAGAAAAUGACAUUCUGACGUUUGUAUGGUUAGCUAUCUGUUCAUCAGGUGUUUAUGCGGAGUUUACCAUUGGUUUUUCAAAGAGUAACUCUGAAGUAAUUAAGAGUCCCACAAAGCUUUUUACGAGGAGUAAGGAUGCAUCUCAAAAAAAACACAUCCAGUUAAUUAGAUCCCAUGACACAAAAUAAAAUUAAAAGUCUCUGAUGUGGAUGUGCUUGUAAGGGAACGCCGCUAAAUGUGCUGUAUACCCAUCCCUGAUUUUUUGUAGCACAUUUCUUGCCAGAUGGAGGCGGCAGUCACCACUGAGCUCUUGGCAUUUCCUCACGAUUUAUUAACAGACUUCCUUUUUUCAUUAACUGUUAUUAUUUUUCAAUGGACGUCGGCCAUAGACGGUUACCCAAAGUCUUCUCGCAGGUGAGCGUCCCUGGGUGAAUGAUUCACUCACGCGUGGGCUGGGUGGGCGGCGUUUGAAGGAGAAGCACCCCCCCCAAAAUCACUCCUGGCUUUGCUUUGGCUUCAUAGCGCCAUCAUGUCCCGAAUCGGAGGCGGGGGGGUAAAAUUGGUGCAAUGAUGGUGAACAAAAAUGCGUUAGAGGCAUUGAUGAAAAGCUGAGACUGUGUGACCUUUCAGACAACAUGGCAGACGUCCGAGCGCCCUGACCUGAUUUCCGGUCUGCGCUCCUACAUGCAGACACCCUACACCGCGGUAUUCUGGAUGACUACCCCUGAAAUGCCUCCGCUGGCAGUCUUUAGCACAAUUUGGUUUUGAAGGAACCAUACAGGGGAGUUGAAUUGGUAUGAAAAUAUAUGGAUCACCUUUAAAUAUUUCACGCAGAGUCUCCCCAAAGCCACACAUGAAACAUGCACUGUGUGCCAUUUCGGCCACUGGGUGGGGCUGAUUUGCAUAUGAGGUAAUCAGGUCGGAGUUCACUAAGAGGCUGGUUGGUCGAUGUGUUCUGUGUGGCCGCCGUGUGGGAGUCGUGACAUUUCCUUUUUCCACUGGAUGCAGUUUGUCACACAGGCUGUACCCCUGUGGCUCGUUACCAUCCGGCUGCUCCCUGCUAGUCCCUUGUUUCAUACUGACUUCUCAUACAAUUUAUGACCUUUGGUACCGCAGUUGCCAUGGAGAUGACGGCUAGCGCAGGGGGGGCCCGACCGUCCCUUGAGAUUCCACAAAGGAGCCUGGAGGAGCCCGUGGGUCCCGCUCAGCACAGACGGCGCCGGCAGCAGAUCUCCAUCCGCGGCAACUGGCGGCAGGCAUGUGCUGAUCCCCCCCCCGCCAUGAAAGCAGGAAGGGAAGGAUUCUGGGAGCUCACCUGAUGCCCGUAUCCAUUUCUCCAUUUCUGAUUGGAUGCAGAAAACACCGGCUCUGUGUGGGCGGUGCUCCCUGUCUGUCUCCAUGCCAGUUCAGAAGUAUGGAGACGCCGUCAGCUAUCACCGCAAAACAUGGAGGAAAAUGCCUCUGAACGUUGACAGGUGAACUCCCACGCCAGUUAUGCCUGGAUGAACUUUGAGCUAAGGCUAAUUACGCUGAGCAGGAUUAAAGCAGAGGCACCCUACUGUGUGACCUUGAAAGAAAUAAUCAUAAUUCAAAUACCUGUCAGCAGCAAAAACAUAAAAUUAUGCUGAUGUUUCUGAGAUAUGAGUAUGUAAGGCUGCUGUCCUGCCCUGGGUGAACCCCUGCCCUGGGUGUACCCCUGCCCUGUGCCCGUUGUGGGGUUCUGGCAUUGGCUCGAGGCCCCCCAUCACCCUGGCCAACAUAAGUGGAUGAUGGAUAAAUAGAAUCGCCUUUUAUUAAAGUUAAGUAAGGCUGCAGGCCAUUGUGACUUGGGUAAAUGAUUAAAUGUAGUUAGAUGCCUGUGUUUUGACUGUGGUGACCCUCGCCAAAACAGCAGCACCAUCUGUUAUUGACUGCGCUCAGGAACAGGUCAAUUUUAUUUUUUUUAUCCUGUUCCCUACCUUGAGCCCACAGCCUCCAGGAUGGGCUCCGGACCCCCCCGAGACCCUGAAUCUGAUACUGGAUUUUAUUACCCUUACAGACGUUUGACAUAUAUUUAUUUAUUGUCUUCCUUACUUCAAUUAGACUAUUUCAAAUCUGAAAAAUUUCCUUGAGUGUGUUGGAUCCACUGUAACAUGGUUAGCAGCAGCUGACACUGUGAAUAACCAAAGGAAGCAGUGAGCUCUCCCAGUGAGCUCUCCCAGUGAGCUCUCCCAAAUGAGCUCUCCCAGUGAGCAUUCCCAAUGAGCUCUCCCAGUGAGCUCUCCCAGUGAGCUAUCCCAAUGAGCUCUCCCAGUGAGCUCUCCCAAUGAGCUCUCCCAGUGAGCUAUCCCAAUGAGCUCUCCCAGUGAGCUCUCCCAGUGAGCUAUCCCAGUGAGCUAUCCCAAUGAGCUCUCCCAGUGAGCUCUCCCAGUGAGUAUUCCCAAUGAGCUCUCCCAGUGAGCUCUCCCAAUGAGCUCUCCCAGUGAGCUCUCCCAGUGAGCUCUCCCAAUGAGCUCUCCCAAAUGAGCUCUCCCAAUGAGCUCUUCCCAGUGAGCUCUCCCAGUGAGCUCUCCCAGUGAGCAUUCCAAAUGAGCUCUCCCAAUGAGCUCUCCCAGUGAGCUCUCCCAAUGAGUUCUCCCAGUGAGCUUUCCCAGUGAGCUCUCCCAAGAGAAAGGCCAAUGUAGCAGCAGAGAUUCUUCUGGUUUUUUUCUUCGACAUCAAAACAAGAUUGUAGCAGGAAGAUGAGUCAUUUUUCUCAGAUUUUACUUCUGAAACAGCAUCUUCUUACAUCUUGUAGAGGGCUCAUCAGGAUCUAACACAAUCUUUUAGAGACGUCUCAGUCUAUCUUUGCUCCAAGUAUCUGAGGACACUUUCAAAUGGAGUUACUGUGACGUUUCGUAAGAUCCAACCUGGCAAUGACGCAGCCUAGAAUCUCAGGUGACACUCAUAACUCACUUUUGUAUCGCUGCUUUGGCGUUACUUUUUCCAGCAGCAGUUUUAGGCAAAUGAAUUCAGAGCAUAAAAAACUGACACGAUAUGAAGCGGAAAACAAACCAAGUAUCACUUUGGUGCUGCGUAAAACCUUUGCCAUUUGACAUUUUCUGAGCGGCGUGAGACUGUAACAGCCCACAACAGGAGAAAAAGGAAUGUUCUAGGCAGUCAAACCUGCUUUAAUCUGCUGUAGAGGGCUGGAAGCAAAGCAGAGAAUAGGUCACACAUGAAUUAGACACAGUUAAAACGUCAGAUAAGGAUGUAUAAUCACGUUUCCAGUACAGGGCAGUGGUAGUACUACACUACACUACUAAGUAUACUGCAGUAUAUGUGCUUUCAAAUCAACCUCAUACCUGAUUGGUCAACCAGGCUGCACCAAUCAGAUCCCAUCUGCUUCAUGUUUCCCAUAAGGGCACUUAAUCAGCUUCAUGAUGCAUGUGGAAACACGCGCAGCCUCUGUUGUUGCUCUGGGGAGAGCAGUUGUGCACUUUGGUGCCCUGGCACUGAACUGGCAUUGAAUCACGGGAUUCUCUCCCACUCCACCAGCUCCCUGAAAAGCGCUUUUCCGUCAGAUACUUACAAGCUUCAGAGGUGUAAUUAACUUUCUGAAGGGAUAAAAUGUUUUUCUUGUAGGUUAGUGCUCCUUUGGCUGUUUGUAUUUUGGACUUUAUGUCAUUUUAGGCUGUGUGACACACACGGCAUUUCACCUGAACAAUUAAAAUGCUCUUGGUAACAUAUUAGGUCACAUGGUGGCAGACUUCGUGGUUGUCUUUAAAUGAAUGACUUCAGAUUCUGCUUCGGGGGGGCUGCCUUCUCUGUCACAUUCGUACUGGUUUCCCAGCACCCUCUGUAUUUUUUAAUGAACAUGGCCUGCUGGCCAGGUCCGGCGCAGCCUGUGUUUGGUCACAUCAGGGACAAAGGCACAGGGACACAGACACAGGGACACAGACACAGGGCCACAGGCACCGCCCCCCCCUGGAUUUUGUCAAAUCCCUACCUUGAUCCCCCGUCUGGGGGCAUGCCGCGGGGGUGCUGACCCGCGAAAUCGAUGCAAUCCUCCAGCGCCAGUGGCCUAAACAGGGCAGUAGAGUCACUGUGGAACCCUGAGAAUCUCUCACAGAAUGGGGUGGGGCCUGACGGGGGGAGUGACCAGCGACUCACGGCGACAAAGAGCCCAAGACCUCCGGCAGGUGUCCGCGGUGCGGGCGGACAGAGGUGAGAAAAGGGACGACGGCCAGAAUUUCCAGCAAAGCGGUUCAUUUCUCAGUAGGAAGCGGAUUACAGUUUAACCAAAAACCAAUUUCCCAUUUACUUAGUGUGCGAACAGCUAGCAAGACACCCCACUGCUGGGGCAGGGCAGGGCUUUAUUUAGUGCGCUCUCCACCCUGCCACUGGGGUGCCCACCUAAUCCGCAUCAGGCGGGGGGCACUAUGACCUGUGACUGGGUUUGUAAACUACCAUUUCAAUUAAAAUGACCUGGAUUUCUCUUAAUCACUGAGUUGUUGCUGUGUGCUGAUUGGUCGGUCUCCUAUAAUCAUGCGCAUGUCACUAAUGUUAAAGUGAAACAGCUGGAUGAGUUUGUAAAACCUGAAGUAGCUCAUUCCGCCCCAUCCCCCCCCCCCCCCCCGGAUGUCUAUUCGAUGGCCCUACCUGCCACCCAUGGUCAUGCCCACAUGCUCGUAACUCUAGCUUUAAAUCCUGGUUUAUGGUGCGGAUAUGAAGGUCUUUCACACAGCUGUUCAUUCGGAUUCCUUACUCUUCAUUACGUCACAUGCAGUUCGGCACAUCAGGCUAGCAUGCCGGCCCACACAGAGUUUAGGAUUUGACAUUUAUUUGCCGUUCAUCCUGUCCUGCUGGUUGUUGGGCUAAUGUAAAGCCUGCCUUUAAAAGGCUGCUGUGAAUUUGUGGUGCCGAAGUCACUUCCGAAUGGCAUUUCAGAGACUUGAGGCGUGAGGCCUGUGGAAUGCUCUGUGAAGGCAGCGUGAAUGCCAGAGCCUUCACACGCUUGGGUAUAUGUAACGGAAGUUUGAUUCACCCGCUAAUUGUUAAUUACUCUCACUAAGAGGUGUGAGGUAAUCACAUGAUGCAUCUUGCAGUGUCAAUGUGUAAUGCUUUACGCUCCCGUGUCCGGCGACUCCCUGGAUUUCAUCCGGCGACACCUGCACGCUCUUCGGCUCUCCGUGGGCAUCCAAGGAAUGCUGUGAAGAUCCCAGCCCGCUCCAAGCCUGCUAGAAGCAUCUGAGUCACCGAUGGAAUGAUCUGUGUGCGCACUCACAGGUGCCUCCUGUCCGGUGGGGGGGGUGGUUCUCAGCUUCACCCUUCUGCUGGUGGACCUCUUGGUGUCUGGUCACAGCCGACCAUCUGCAGAACCUGUGAGUCACCAGCCCAGAGCAAGCUGGGAGGUCCGGGGGCCACAGUCAGAGAGGGAGACACACUGAGGUCACGCACCCCCCCACACACACACGCACACAAACACAAGUACAGUAUUCCCACCCCCCUCGAGCCAACCCGCAUGCCCACCCUCUGCCGGAGGGUAAUUUAAGGAGGAUUGAGGAUGGAUUACAUUCCUAUUACAAGAUCCAAAGCUCAUGGGUGUCCAGCUAAAACCCAAGACAAUAUCCAGUAAGAUCCAAGAUUCAGGAAGAAGCACAUCAGUGCAGCUGCAAGUUGACGGAUUUCCCAGGUCCAGCUGCCCUUCUGUGCCCUGGAAUAACAGGAUAAUGAGAUUCCCCAAGUCACGGGGUCCUCAUUGCUACUCACCACCAGUGACUUUUGUGAUUACAUGGUUCUUUCUCAGAGUAAUAACUUGGUGCUGAAGUCUGUGGACAUUUCAGAGAACAGAUUGUUGACGUGAAACCGCUUUGUAUGUAAAUACUUUUUUACGUGAUUCAUUUAAAGCCUCUGGAAGCCAAAGUGGACCCGAUAAUCACUGAUUUGCCUGAGUUACGCCAGCGUGAGCCAAAAACUUAACAAGGAAAUCCCUUAUCUGAUUAAAACAGAGAACAACUGACAUUACAUGAAUUCCUCAUCUCUCCUAUUGUCACUUUCAGACUCUCCUGCUUUAUUUAUUGCUGUUACUGUUAGGUGUUGUCAAGGUGAUGUUGACACCUGUCUUCUAUGUGGAUGGCGUUGCUCCAGAAUAUCCUGUCUUCUGUCUGCUUCUUAAUGCUCACCAGUUCUUUGUUGUGACGACUGAGUCCCUCCAUCUUGCUGCUGGAUGCCCUCUCAAUCUUACCUUCAGCUUCUGCAACAUUAUGGGCCAAGUCUCUGGUUCUCCUCAUAAUAUUCCCGGAAUACGACACUCUGUGCAUUUGCAGCUUAUUACCAGUAAAAUCCCCUUUUUUGUACAAUGUACCCAUGACCUUGUAUGAAGGUGUGUGGCUCAGCAGGCUCUGCCUCUGUGCAUGUGAAGAUCUCCAAUUCCCGCCCCAGUCUUUGCAGAAUAGUCACAUGUCCAUUGGCACUUGA